This 253-nucleotide ribosomal RNA is filed under the name uncultured bacterium. Its description in RNAcentral is "partial 16S ribosomal RNA". It matches the Rfam family "Bacterial small subunit ribosomal RNA", at positions 524 to 776 of the family's 1533-position model. The record is from RNAcentral.
UACGGAGGGGGCUAGCGUUGUUCGGAAUUACUGGGCGUAAAGCGCACGUAGGCGGCUAUUCAAGUCAGAGGUGAAAGCCCGGGGCUCAACCCCGGAACUGCCUUUGAAACUAGAUGGCUAGAAUCUUGGAGAGGCGAGUGGAAUUCCGAGUGUAGAGGUGAAAUUCGUAGAUAUUCGGAAGAACACCAGUGGCGAAGGCGACUCGCUGGACAAGUAUUGACGCUGAGGUGCGAAAGCGUGUGGAGCAAACAGG